AAGCGAUCCAACUGCCUCAGCCUCCCGAGUCACUGGGAUUACAGGCAUGAAGACAUUGUUUUCAAGGGAUCACUCUGCUUUGUGGAGACUAGACUGUGAGGAGCAAGCCUCGAAAGGGGAGAGCUGUUUCGAGGUUCUCCACUGCAGCCUGCUCCACAGCCACGCCCUCCCAUCCAUGGCUACACACUCACAUUCUGGGCCUCUUCCCUGGACCAGAUUGCACAGCAGGGCCGCUCUCUCCAGUGCCUCCAGCUGGCCCCUGCUGACAAGUCCGUGUUGUGUCAUGUUGGGAGUCUGGGCAAGGCACGAGGGCCCCUCUCUAGCAGGUCCCGAUGGCUCCUCCACACCUUCAGGAAAAGCAAGAGAUAAACCAUUGCAUGCUGAGCUCUGCAGGGAACUGGAGGCGGACACCAUCCAUUCUGCAAACCUGCAAUGGUGACACUUCUGGAAUCUCCUUGCCUCUUCCAGGGCUGCAGCCUCU
Molecule: long non-coding RNA, 481 nt
Filed under: Homo sapiens (human)
Lineage: Eukaryota; Metazoa; Chordata; Mammalia; Primates; Hominidae
Description: non-protein coding lnc-LEP-2:2
Source: RNAcentral